CUGCACUCACUUUUGUUCUGGCACUCUCUUCCUCUCAGUACUCUAUCCUUCCUUUCCUCCCCUCUCUCUCGCUCUCUCUCUCUCUCUCUCUCUCUCUCUCUCUCUCUCUCCUCCUGCUCUCUCAUCUCUUUCUCUACUCUUCCCCUCUCUCUCUUUCUCCUCUCUCUCCUCUCCUACUCUCUCUCUCUCUCUUUCUCUCUCUCUCCUCUCCUCCUCCCUCUCUCUCUCCUCUCUCUCUAUCCUCUCUCUCUCCUCCUCUUCUCUCUCUCUCUUUCUCUCUCUCUCUGUUUCCUUCUCUCUGUCUCUCUCUCCUCUCUAACUCUCCUCUCUCUCUCUCUCUCUCUCUCCACUAUCUCUCUCUUCUCUCUCCAUCUCUCUCUCUUCUCCCUCUUCUCCUCCUCUCUCUCUCCCUCCACUAUCUCUCUCUUCUCUCUCCAUCUCUCUCUCUGCUCUCUCUUCUCCUCCUCUCUCUCUCUCCCUCCACUAUCUCUCUCUUCUCUCUCCAUCUCUCUCUCUGCUCUCUCUUCUCCUCCUCUCUCUCUCUCCCUCCACUAUCUCUCUCUUCUCCUCCUCUCUCUCUCUCCCUCCACUAUCUCUCUCUCUCCUCUCUCUGUUUCCUUCUCUCUCUCUCUCCUCUCUCUUCUCUCUCCUCUCUCACUCUCCUCUCUUUCUCUACUCUUCUCCUCCUCUCUCUCUCUCCCUCCACUAUCUCUCUCUUCUCUCUCCAUCUCUCUCUCUUCUCUCUCUUCUCCUCCUCUCUCUCUCCCUCCACUAUCUCUCUCUUCUCUCUCCAUCUCUCUCUGCUCUCUCUUCUCCUCCUCUCUCUCUCUCCCUCCACUAUCUCUCUCUUCUCUCUCCAUCUCUCUCUCUGCUCUCUCUUCUCCUCCUCUCUCUCUCUCCCUCCACUAUCUCUCUCUUCUCCUCCUCUCUCUCGCUCCCUCCACUAUCUCUCUCUUCUCCUCCUCUCUCUCUCUCCCUCCACUAUCUCUCUCUUCUCUCUCCAUCUCUCUCUCUGCUCUCUCUUCUCCUCCUCUCUCUCUCUCCCUCCACUAUCUCUAUCUUCUCUCUCCAUCUCUCUCUCUGCUCUCUCUUCUCCUCCUCUCUCUCUCUCCCUCCACUAUCUCUCUCUUCUCCUCCUCUCUCUCUCUCCCUCCACUAUCUCUCUCUUCUCCUCCUCUCUCUCUCCCUCCACUAUCUCUCUCUUCUCCUCCUCUCUCUCUCUCCCUCCACUAUCUCUCUCUUCUCUCUCCAUCUCUCUCUCUGCUCUCUCUUCUCCUCCUCUCUCUCUCUCCCUCCACUAUCUCUCUCUUCUCUCUCUCUGCUCUCUCUUCUCCUCCUCUCUCUCUCUCCCUCCACUAUCUCUCUCUUCUCUCUCCAUCUCUCUCUCUCCCUCCACUAUCUCUCUCUUCUCCUCCUCUCUCUCUCUCCCUCCACUAUCUCUCUCUUCUCUCUCCAUCUCUCUCUCUCCCUCCACUAUCUCUCUCUUCUCCUCCUCUCUCUCUCUCCCUCCACUAUCUCUCUCUUCUCUCUCCAUCUCUCUCUCUGCUCUGUCCUUCCUGCAGCACUAGACCUUUUGUUCAUAGCCCCUCUGCCUCAAUACAGCCUGUCUACCCAGCUAUCUCCAUCACACACACACACACACACACACACACACACACACACACACACACACACACACACACACACACACACACACACACACACACACACACACACACACACACACAUCCUCAAAGAAAACCGAAAACACAGUCUGCACGACACUCCAGGCCAUCAACAUCAUCACAGUUCUAUAUUCAGUCUGGAGAACAGAGGGAGGGGAGAGGAAGAGCAGAGGAGGGAGGACGAUUGGAGGGAUUGGGGGGGAACAGCUAA
Molecule: long non-coding RNA, 1875 nt
Filed under: Oncorhynchus mykiss (rainbow trout)
Lineage: Eukaryota; Metazoa; Chordata; Actinopteri; Salmoniformes; Salmonidae
Description: lncRNA (ENSOMYG00000073415.1)
Source: RNAcentral